UGAUCAGCGGUCCGAUUGGAUGAUUUGCAGCGCUGUCCUGAAUUGAAAAGCUCUUGCGCUUGUUUGCUCGUAUUCGCCUCUCGUCCUGUAGCCCGAAUGCACCUAUCCGGCAUCGCGUGAGGGAGUCGGUGCACAUCUGGAGGAUUUUGUUUGUCGCCCUCGCGCCCGGUCUGGAUGUUGCGCGUGAGCUGAAGAAUUCUAGAGGUCGGAGACAAAAUGCGGCGGCGAGCGCACGCGUGUGUCCUGCUUCUGCCGUGGCUGGUGCUGCAAACCCAGGCAGGCUUUCCAAACCAGAUCAAUAUCGGUGGUCUCUUCAUGCGCUCCACGGUUCAGGAACACAGUGCGUUCCGCUUCGCCGUUCAGCUCUACAACACCAACCAGAACAUCACUGAGAAACCCUUUCACCUGAAUUAUAACGUGGACAAUCUGGAGUCAUCCAAUAGCUUCUCAGUCACGCACGCGUUCUGUUCACAGUUCUCCAGGGGUGUGUAUGCAAUAUUUGGAUUCUAUGACAGGAGGUCAAUGAACACAUUAACGUCGUUCUGCGGCGCUCUGCACACCUCCUUCAUCACUCCAUCUUUUCCCACGGACACAGAUGUGCAGUUUGUUCUGCAGAUGAGGCCGAGCCUCCGGGGGGCGCUGCUCAGCUUGCUAGCCCAUUACAAAUGGGAGAAAUUUGUCUACCUGUAUGACACCGAUAGAGGGUUUUCCAUCCUACAGGCCAUCAUGGAAUCCGCAGUGAUGAAUAAUUGGCAGGUGACGGCACGUUCGGUGGGGAACAUAGUGGAUCCGCUGGAAUACCGACGUAUUAUUGAAGAAAUGGAUCGUCGCCAGGAGAAACGCUUCCUUAUCGACUGUGAGGUUGAACGCAUUAACAGUAUUCUAGAGCAGGCUGCGAUCUCUGGAAAGAAUAGUCGUGGAUAUCAUUACAUCCUGGCUAAUCUUGGGUUCUCUAACAUGAGUUUGGAUAAGGUGUUUUCAGGCGGGGCAAAUAUUACCGGAUUCCAAAUCAUAAGUCCUGAUAGCCCGAUCGUGCAGCAGUUUCUCCAGCGCUGGGAGCGGCUCGACGAGAGAGAGUUCCCUGAGUCUAGAAACGCUCCCCUGAAGUAUACAUCUGCGCUGACACACGAUGCCAUCCUGGUGUUAGCUGAGGCAUUUCGGUAUUUGAGACGUCAACGCGUUGAUAUUUCACGUCGAGGGAGUGCAGGCGACUGCCUUGCCAACCCGGCCGUACCAUGGAGCCAGGGAAUCGACAUUGAAAGAGCUCUCAAAAUGGUUCAGGUUCAGGGUAUGACGGGAAAUAUUCAGUUCGACUCAUUUGGACGGCGAUCAAAUUACACCAUUGAUGUUUAUGAAAUGAAACCAGGAGGAGCCAGAAAGAUUGGCUACUGGAAUGAAUAUGAGAAAUUUGUUUAUAUAGUGGAGCAGCAGGUUACCAACGAGUCCUCCUCUGUGGAAAACAGAACCAUUGUGGUCACUACUAUUAUGGAAGCUCCAUAUGUAAUGUACAAGAGGAAUUAUAUGCAGUUGGAUGGAAAUGAUCGCUAUGAGGGCUACUGUGUAGACUUGGCAUCAGAAAUCGCAAAGCACGUGGGCAUAAAGUACAAACUGUCCAUUGUAGCUGAUGGGAAAUAUGGAGCACGCGACCCUGAGACCAAGACCUGGAACGGCAUGGUGGGGGAGUUGGUAUAUGGGAGGGCAGAUAUAGCUGUGGCUCCACUCACUAUAACCCUUGUCCGGGAGGAAGUGAUAGAUUUCUCCAAGCCCUUCAUGAGUCUGGGCAUUUCCAUCAUGAUCAAGAAACCACAGAAGUCCAAACCAGGAGUCUUCUCAUUUCUGGAUCCACUGGCCUAUGAGAUCUGGAUGUGUAUCGUUUUUGCAUAUAUCGGUGUGAGCGUGGUUCUCUUCCUGGUGAGUCGUUUCAGUCCAUACGAAUGGCACCUGGACGAGAACGAAGAGGCGAAGGAUCCGCAAACGCCACCUGACCCACCCAACGACUUUGGCAUCUUUAACAGUCUCUGGUUCUCCCUUGGAGCUUUCAUGCAGCAAGGAUGCGAUAUCUCGCCAAGGUCUCUGUCUGGCCGAAUUGUUGGAGGUGUGUGGUGGUUCUUCACUCUGAUCAUCAUUUCAUCCUACACAGCCAAUUUGGCUGCUUUCCUGACUGUGGAAAGGAUGGUCUCGCCUAUAGAGAGCGCAGAAGACCUGGCCAAGCAGACUGAGAUCGCCUACGGAACGCUCGACUCCGGUUCCACCAAAGAGUUCUUCCGGCGUUCAAAGAUCGCUGUCUAUGAGAAGAUGUGGUCUUACAUGAAGUCCGCCGAGCCGUCCGUGUUCGUUAAGACCACCCCUGACGGAGUGGCUCGCGUGCGCAAGUCAAAGGGGAAGUUUGCGUUCCUGCUCGAGUCCACGAUGAACGAAUACAUCGAACAGAGAAAGCCUUGCGACACUAUGAAGGUGGGAGGGAACCUGGACUCCAAGGGCUACGGCGUGGCCACGCCCAAAGGGUCGGCAUUAAGAAGCGCUGUAAACCUGGCGGUGUUAAAGCUGAAUGAGCAGGGCCUGCUGGACAAGCUGAAAAAUAAAUGGUGGUACGACAAGGGAGAGUGCGGCAGCGGGGGAGGGGACUCGAAGGUCAGCCUCAAUCUCACCCAAACAACCCUUUCCUAGCUACGAGUAAUCGGCAAGGCUGUGACCUAUGAUCCCCAGCAACAGUACCGUGACCCUUAGGGGUGGACACGAGCAAACUGAGCCUAAUGACCCGAGGACAUUAGCACCACUGCGAUGGCCGUAGUUACUGUCAGCGCUGCUAAUGGACUGUUUUCCUGAGCUUAUGUAAUAAGGCAAACUGUGAUCAGAUGUGACCCUUUACUUGGCUAAUGGAGGAAAGGAAGCAGAGGAGGAGAGGAAUAAAGGCUCGGGUGGGAGGAUGUGUGGAGCGAGGUCAGGGUCACCGAGAGCGCAGCUUAUUAGGAUGGUUAGGUUCUUGUGAAUUUGCCACGCGGGUUUGUUUGUGUGGUAAAACAAACAGCUUGUUCUAGGUAGAAGAGGCUAGGCCGUCUCUGGAUCUCCUCUGAUCUGUAAUAUAAGAUCAUCACAAAAUGUAGUGUUGUUUGUGUAUACCAGGGCUCCAGGAUUUAAUGACUGUCAACAGAAAGAAAAAAGAGAGAUGUUUGGAGAUCAGAAUAGACAGUGUAAACAAGACCAAAACUGCUUUGGAAAAUAGAUGUCUGUAUUUUCUAAAGCACAGAGGAUUGGAUGUUUAUUAUUAUGCUUAAAGGACAGUUCACCCAAAAAUGAAAAUUAUCUCAUCAUUUACAGUACUCUAGUGUGUGACAAACCUGUGAAUUUCUUUCUUCUGUGGAACAUAAAAAAUAUCAAUGGUUUGGUUACCAACAUUCUUCUAAAUGUCUUCUGCAGAAGAAAGAAAGACAUUUUUUGGUGUAAAUGCAUUCAAGUAACUUUCAGUGAAGACUAGCAAUAAUGAGUUUGUUCUUGAUUACACAUUUGCUUUUAGCUAGUAAAGGGUUUUUUCAGUUUAUGUUGUCCCUUAUCUAUGCAAAGUCUUCACAAAUGACAAGUAUUUAUGCUAAUAUUGUCCAAAUCACUAUGCCUAUGGUGUUUCCAAACAUCUGGAGGGCACAAUAUGUUGAGUAUAUAUGUUGAGUUAUUUGUUAGUGUGUCAAGUUGCUGCUAGUGGCAAAAGAGAAGUGCAAAGACUUUGGCAUCUCCAAUCAAAUAGUCAGAUGACAGAUUUUUUUUAAAAGACACCAUCUUUGGUCUUUGGCCAACUCCCUGCUACAAGUAUGUAAAUCCUUUUGGAGCCGCCAGCUCUCUCAGAUUAUUCCCCAAAUUGGCGUGUAACCCAUGAAAAAGCCGUAGCUCCCUUGUUGGUGGGAUUAAAGAAAAAUAUAAGACCACUGGGAUAGACAGUCCUGAAGGGGCUAAAACAUCACAGGAAAACGUGAGAAUUCUAAUUAAACACUUCUAGAAAUCAAAGGUGGAGAAAGAUCUGGAGCCGUAAAUGCACAUGUUCAUCUGCAUAUGAAUGCACAGAAAACCACAAACAAGCACAAAUUCAUUACACUCACACACACACACACACACACACACUUCUCAAUGAAUUUAUGGCCACUUUUCUCUAGCCCCUGUGCCUGCAGAAUGGUCACCCUGUGUUCAUCCUAUCAUGAGGGCAAGGCGGCCCCACUCACUCCUGAUCGGUCUACAAAAGCGAGUUCACUGCAGUAAUUGGCUCUCUCUCAUGAGUGGCGCCUGAGCUCUAAACUCUGAGACCAAGAUGGCCGCCUAGUCCAUGCAUUGAUAAGUUGAGCAUGCUGGGUGGAGGGUGUCUAGUCUGUUAUGACAUCACAACUGCAUGUUUCUCAUUUAUUGACCUGAGUCUGAUCCAAAAUGCAUGAAUGGAGUAAUUCAGCAAACCCAGCAAGUAUAUUAUACCAUUAGCACACAUAGCACAAUUAAAAACAGCCGAUACACUGCAAAUAUACAGAAAACCCCAAUUUCACCACAAUACAGUAAGAUAUAUUCGUAAAUGUAGGAAUCAGGACCCCAUUUUUCACACAUAGAUUACUGAAAAAUCCAAUUGUUUUUAGCUGUUGGCGAUUUGACUCACUUCUGAGCUCUUUGAAGCUCAUCAUAAAGUUCAUGUGCGCUCAGUCCUUUGUGAAACAGGAUUCAACCAUGGCCGCUUCAUUCUGAUGAGAGGACCCUGUUGAAAGGGGAGCAAUAUUUAGUCAUUUAAUAGUGAUUUAAAAUUUGGAAACCACAUUUGUAUAGUGCUUUUGCAUGAAUAAAAGUGUGGAUUUUCACUUAUAAUAUAAGUAAGCACAGUAAAUACAAGUUGAAUUGUACUCAAGCAUUAGGUCCAUCUCUGCAUAAACAGAUCUCAUUCUUUCAAGGUAUUAUUCGUCGGGUGUCAAACCAUUCGAGGUCUGAAGCUGGCUUGUGUUACGGUGGUAAGUAUGGUAUAUUUGCUUUGCUGGAUUACAACUCUCAUCAUUUAGCAGAAGGAAAAUAAACUGAGUUUCCCAGCAGUCCUGCUGAUGACAUACUAACAUCUUACAAACUGAAAUGCCCAAAAGGAAUAGUAACAUCAUUGAGCAGUACUGUUUCCAUUAUUUUUUUGUCUGUUUAUUUACGAAUAAAAUUUGUUAUAGGAUGCAUUAUGCAAAUAUCUACAAAUGCUCCCUAAUAUUAAUAUUCACGUGCUGACUUUUAUAAGGGCUUGAUGUUUUCAUUUGUAAGAUGUUUGGCUUCAGCCCUCACCCACCACAGACCGGUUCCCCUUCUGACUGCUGGGUCCUGUUUGUCUGUUAGUCAAGUAAGGGUUUUUUCUCCCGAUGGAUCCGGCUUGCUGAAUACUGGGUUAGAAAAGCUGCAUUCACACCACAAUUACAAUAACGAAACUCAUCUGCCAAAUGCUCUUUGUAAUUAUGCUCUGUUUGGCUGUGUUACCAUGGUUACUCUCUCUGCCUCUGUUGGAACAGUGAGUGCCGAUUACUCAAAGCGAUAACAGUAGGUAGCACUGCCAGGUCAAAGGUCGAAGGUAACACUGAGGCUAGCCCUGCCUGCAUUCCCUCUCUCUCUCUCCAUCUCUCCCUCUCUUAUUCUUUCGCUGUCUGCGAUAUCAACAGCACAAGGCCAGGUGUCCUACAGUAUCGCUUUGGUUAACAAAUAUUCGGUAGGUUUAAGUUUUAAUAACAUAAAAUAACAUAAUGGUGCCAUGUUAUUUAUGUUAUUUCCCCUCGUGAAGAACUCCUGUAAACCUUGCAGUGUUGAAACUCAGUGAACAAGGCAUCUUAGACAAGCUGAAAAACAAGUGGUGGUACGAUAAGGGUGAAUGUGGGACCAAAGACUCUGGGAGUAAGGAUAAAACCAGCGCGCUGAGUCUCAGUAACGUG
This is an RNA transcript of Megalobrama amblycephala (Wuchang bream), 5915 nucleotides long. It is a transcript of the gene named glutamate receptor, ionotropic, AMPA 3a, with no coding region annotated. The record is from RefSeq and is a predicted model, not a curated record. NCBI's taxonomy places the organism in Eukaryota, Metazoa, Chordata, Actinopteri, Cypriniformes, Xenocyprididae. The transcript is spliced from 15 exons.